UACAGAGGUCUCAAGCGUUGUUCGGAUUCAUUGGGCGUAAAGGGUGCGUAGGCGGCGCGGUAAGUCGGGUGUGAAAUCUCGGAGCUUAACUCCGAAACUGCAUUCGAUACUGCCGUGCUUGAGGACUGGAGAGGAGACUGGAAUUUACGGUGUAGCGGUGAAAUGCGUAGAUAUCGUAAGGAAGACCAGUGGCGAAGGCGGGUCUCUGGACAGUUCCUGACGCUGAGGCGCGAAAGCGUGGGGAGCAAACAGG
This 253-nucleotide ribosomal RNA is filed under the name uncultured bacterium. RNAcentral's name for it is "partial 16S ribosomal RNA". It matches the Rfam family "Bacterial small subunit ribosomal RNA", at positions 524 to 776 of the family's 1533-position model. The record is from RNAcentral.